This 466-nucleotide ribosomal RNA is filed under the name uncultured bacterium. RNAcentral's name for it is "bacterial SSU rRNA". It matches the Rfam family "Bacterial small subunit ribosomal RNA", at positions 28 to 507 of the family's 1533-position model. The record is from RNAcentral.
GACGAACGCUGGCGGCACGCCUAACACAUGCAAGUCGAGCGGAGAUUGAGAGCUUGCUCUCAUGAUCAGCGGCGGACGGGUGAGUAACACGUGAGCAACCUGCCUUUCAGAGGGGGACAACAGUUGGAAACGACUGCUAAUACCGCAUAACAUUGCCGAACGGCAUCGUUUGGCAAUCAAAGGAGCAAUCCNCUGAAAGAUGGGCUCGCGUCUGAUUAGCUAGUUGGUGAGGUAACGGCCCACCAAGGCGACGAUCAGUAGCCGGACUGAGAGGUUGACCGGCCACAUUGGGACUGAGAUACGGCCCAGACUCCUACGGAGGCAGCAGUGGGGAAUAUUGGGCAAUGGGCGCAAGCCUGACCCAGCAACGCCGCGUGAAGGAAGAAGGCCUUCGGGUUGUAAACGUUCUUUUACCAGGGACGAAGGACGUGACGGUACCUGGAGAAAAGCAACGGCUAACUACGUG